GCGCUGCGUUCAUGCCCUUUCUUGUUCUGCCUUUCUUGUGUGCCCAGUCACACCGGGUAGGUGCCCGCAGGGCCUUCAUCGGCCGAGGUAAAAGUGCUGAAACCAUGUGAAUAAAUACAGGUGGACACCUGCGCGGGUGUGUGCCCUCCAGCCCCUGAAGCAUGGCCAGCAGCGGCAUGGCUGACAGCGCCAACCACCUGCCCUUCUUUUUCGGCAAUAUCACCCGGGAGGAGGCAGAAGAUUACCUGGUCCAGGGGGGCAUGAGUGAUGGGCUCUAUUUGCUGCGCCAGAGCCGCAACUACCUGGGCGGCUUCGCCCUGUCCGUGGCCCACGGGAGGAAGGCACACCACUACACCAUCGAGCGGGAGCUGAACGGCACCUACGCCAUCGCCGGCGGCAGGACCCAUGCCAGCCCCGCCGACCUCUGCCACUACCACUCCCAGGAGUCUGAUGGCCUGGUCUGCCUCCUCAAGAAGCCCUUCAACCGGCCCCAAGGGGUGCAGCCCAAG
This 509-nucleotide small RNA is filed under the name Pongo abelii (Sumatran orangutan). RNAcentral's name for it is "processed transcript". Lineage: Eukaryota; Metazoa; Chordata; Mammalia; Primates; Hominidae. The record is from RNAcentral.